ACCUAUUCUCAGGGAACAAUAAAAACUUUCUAGCUUGAGAAUGAAAAACAGUAAACCCCAAAAGCACACGCAAAAAGAAUGAUGCCGACAGAGGUCGUACGAGAAAGGACUUACUUGUCACAACGAGAUCAACGGCGAUUGGAAAUGUCACGCUUGGAUCCUUCUCGCAAAUGCUCCUUCGUCCGUCGACUCAUCUCCGGCGCACUCUGGAUCGUCUGCUUGGGUAUCACUAGGAUUCUUCAGAGCGGCGUCAAAAUGAAGCCCUGGUAUUCUCUACGAAAAUGCAGUUUCUAAGGGUUUUGAGAUCAAAAGAGGUCUCUGCCAAAUCCCUUUUGAUGUGCUCAGUCAGGAUUGGCCUUACUUGAUGCUAAAUCAGAACCGUAAAAACGACGAAGACAUGAAGAGAUUUGGUUUUCACCUUGUCCCAUUCCAAAAUCUGUUAUUUCUUGAGCCAACUAAAUUAGAGGCAGGAGC
Molecule: long non-coding RNA, 474 nt
Organism: Lathyrus oleraceus (garden pea)
Lineage: Eukaryota; Viridiplantae; Streptophyta; Magnoliopsida; Fabales; Fabaceae
Exons: 3
Source: RefSeq, a predicted model, not a curated record